Molecule: ribosomal RNA, 253 nt
Filed under: uncultured bacterium
Lineage: Bacteria
Description: partial 16S ribosomal RNA
Rfam family: Bacterial small subunit ribosomal RNA
Source: RNAcentral
UACGAAGGGAGCGAGCGUUGUUCGGAAUCACUGGGCGUAAAGCGUGCGUAGGCGGUUUUAUAAGUCAGAAGUGGAAGCCUGGGGCUUAACCUCAGAAUUGCUUUUGAGACUGUAAAGCUAGAAUCCUGGAGAGGUUAGUGGAAUUCCGAGUGUAGAGGUGAAAUUCGCAGAUAUUCGGAGGAACACCAGUGGCGAAGGCGACUAACUGGACAGGCAUUGACGCUGAGGCACGAAAGCGUGGGGAUCAAACAGG